CCUACGGGUGGCAGCAGUGAGGAAUAUUGGUCAAUGGGCGGGAGCCUGAACCAGCCAAGUCGCGUGAGGGAAGACGGUCCUAUGGAUUGUAAACCUCUUUAGGCGGGGAGCAAUGCCGGGCACGCGUGCCCGGAGGGAGAGUACCCGCAGAAUAAGCAUCGGCUAACUCCGUGCCAGCAGCCGCGGUAAUACGGAGGAUGCGAGCGUUAUCCGGAUUUAUUGGGUUUAAAGGGAGCGUAGGCGGGUUGUUAAGUCAGUUGUGAAAGUUUGCGGCUCAACCGUAAAAUUGCAGUUGAUACUGGCAUCCUUGAGUACAGUAGAGGUAGGCGGAAUUCGUGGUGUAGCGGUGAAAUGCUUAGAUAUCACGAAGAACUCCGAUUGCGAAGGCAGCCUGCUGGACUGUAACUGACGCUGAUGCUCGAAAGUGUGGGUAUCAAACAGGAUUAGAUACCCGAGUAGUC
Molecule: ribosomal RNA, 461 nt
Filed under: uncultured bacterium
Lineage: Bacteria
Description: partial 16S ribosomal RNA
Rfam family: Bacterial small subunit ribosomal RNA
Source: RNAcentral